GGUAAACAAGAAAACCAAACGGUGAGAUAAAAUAAUAAACUUUUGAAAUCUUACAAUGUUAAUUUUAUACUGUUUUCCUUAUUGAGGAUAUGGAACUCACUCUUUCCAUUCUCCCCCAGAUGAGGAAGAAAAUGAGGAACUGUAGGCAAACCUUCCUUCGGAAGUCUAUGAGGAUCCCUUGGAUCCACAAGUUUAAGUUGUUGACUGUUCCUGCACUCUCAUGAAUUUCAGAAGCAUAGUGAAAGAAGUGGCCCUUAUAUUUGUAUUUUGUAGCCACUUCUGGCUUCAGUGAUGUAUGUAUUUAGAACACUAUAUAUAUUU
RNAcentral lists this long non-coding RNA (321 nucleotides) under Carica papaya (papaya). Its description in RNAcentral is "long non-coding RNA (CPAP_LNC016556)". The record is from RNAcentral. Lineage: Eukaryota; Viridiplantae; Streptophyta; Magnoliopsida; Brassicales; Caricaceae.